Long non-coding RNA from Cylas formicarius (sweet potato weevil), 1851 nucleotides. RefSeq lists it as uncharacterized. The record is from RefSeq and is a predicted model, not a curated record. The transcript is spliced from 3 exons. NCBI's taxonomy places the organism in Eukaryota, Metazoa, Arthropoda, Insecta, Coleoptera, Brentidae.
CAAUAUAAUUGAUACGUAUUGGGUUCGACGAGUAAUACAUUAAUUUCUGUAAAUUAAAUACCUGACUGAAAAUAGAUAGUUCAUUCAAUAUUCAAUUCAACACAUAAGUAAAUCCACCAAGGAUAUCGCAACUCAAUAAUAUACAAAUAUUAUAACAAUACUCAAAUUCCUUUUCUAUAGUCUGUUUCUGUCAUUCUUUUCAAUCUGUAACAAUUCAAAAGAACCGUAUUCCGCAAGACGAAUUGACACAACUCUAGGCAAAGAAAAAUAAUACCUAUGCUUGGUCACUGUAUAAAAAGGAGUUUUUAAUUGCAAGAAAUCGGGCAGCAGACCAAGUCUGUAUCAAAAGCGUCUAGUCUCUGCUGAGACAUAAUUGAUAAACAGAAUGUUUAGGUUAGAGCCAGCAAUUUGUAUAGAGAUAUCAAAUUUAAUAGUUUAAAUGUUUAAAAGCCGGAAUGCAAUUAAUUUUAGAAGGUAAAUUCAUAGGGUGGUGGGGUAUCAAAACUCCUCAACGAAUAGUUUUCCACGAGUUAUUGGAAAAUAAUAUCUUAAAUGUACAGAAACAAAAUGUUAAGCAUCAGGAAGGGACAACACAAUCAUAAACACUUGGAGGACCAACCACAAGGCGGAAAUAUUAAGAGUUGCAAGCAUGUCUGAGAGAGAAAGGAACUUGAGGGAAUUUAUAGAAUAGAUCUGCUUCAAGAAUAUUCCUGUAGAACUAGAAGAUUUAACUAGUGCUCUGGAAAAAGCAAGCUAGCGGCCUAGACAUUAGUUUGAUUAUACAGUGUUGUCAUUUUUCUCUCAAGCCUCUGUAUGAAAGGAUUCCAAUUUGAGAAAUGGGGAUUAAACAUGAUUUUACAUUUGUUGGUGAUAUUCUCUAAAUUGCCACAUAUAGGCAUAAAGAUUUGAUUGUUAUUUUUUUGGUUUUUGAUUUAGCAUCUAACCUAUUAUUCUUUGGUAGAGUAAUAUACCAGGCUGAAGCUUGCUUAGAUUUUCACCCAUGCCAAAUUGUAGAGGGUGCCACUACUCUAACUAUCGCCCUAUUUGGAGUCCGACUUAGUUCAUACAACACUUUAAGGCCUCAUCCAAUAAAGACUUUGGAAUACCAGAAUCAACAAUCUUUGUCCUAACUUUAUCCAGUAAAGUUGUAACAUACUGUAAAAGGUUUUUACCAGCUUCAUAUUUAGUUUUUAAUGUUUUUAUCAUUAGGAGAUGAGAAUAAUUAUUUAAUAUAGUUGGAAAGUACUUUUUUCAGCGUAGUUAAACGUAAGUUCGAAGUUAAAGGUCGUUGGUGGGUUUUUUGCUUUUUAUUUUUUGGUUUUGUAACGUGGUGAGUCUUUGGUUCUUUGAUAUGUCGUUUUCUUUAUAUGUGCCUGACCAUUUUCCCAACUGUUAAAUUUGUCUGUUUUUCUUUUUAAAUGCCGUUGAGCAGAUUAUCCCCUACAGAAUCGAAUUGGGUUGCAUUUUUGUUGGGUCUUUGUCGUUUCCGGUUAUUUUACUUAUUAAUUAGUGACUCGUUGUCUAGGCAUAAGUUUCCUUUGUUUUACUAUUUUAAUCUGUGCAGCCUUUACUUUAAUGGCUAACACGUGGUUCUCUGUUUGUGCAAGGGGUACUGUGCCCCUCUGCUGAUGUAUGUAUUGACAAGCCCAGUGAGUUUUUCUUAUUUUUGUGAUAGAGUGUUUCCCUUUUACAUUUUAGUGUCCUGAGAAAGCCUAAAUAAUUGGGCGAAAGCUUGACUUAACAAUAAAAAGAGCAAUGAGCAUUUACAUCUUUUAUUGCUCCCUCUAUAUUAGUCAAUAUUGGGCGAUCCCGUAGUUAUUUUGUGCAACAAGUUACCAGUAGCCCCUAACU